UUACGCUCAAAUCAAGAUGAACACUCCGGUUGUCGUUCGAUCGUCGAAGUUAAGCAUCGUCGGGCUAGGCCAGUACUUAGAUGGGGUCCACUUGGGAACACUUGGUACUGUAAG
Acanthosepion pharaonis is the source of this 114-nucleotide non-coding RNA. NCBI's taxonomy places the organism in Eukaryota, Metazoa, Mollusca, Cephalopoda, Sepiida, Sepiidae. The record is from the annotation of a GenBank genome assembly.